AAGAAUCUCCAUGAAGCACAACCUAUUAAUCUUACCAAAGGAUCCCCUUGGAUAGUUGUAUUUGUCUCUUGAUAGAGUCUCCUUUGAAUGCGCCUAUUAUAUGCGAUUGGUUAAGUUAUUGCUAUUGAGGAAUCAGGACCUUUAUAAACAAUCCCUACAAACUCCUAGUCUGCUUAGCGCCAGCAUUGCAUAUCAUGGUCAUUCAUAUAUCACGCAUAAAACCA
RNAcentral lists this long non-coding RNA (224 nucleotides) under Lathyrus oleraceus (garden pea). Its description in RNAcentral is "Pisum sativum (pea) long non-coding RNA (PSAT_LNC017733)". The record is from RNAcentral. Lineage: Eukaryota; Viridiplantae; Streptophyta; Magnoliopsida; Fabales; Fabaceae.